Molecule: unclassified non-coding RNA, 375 nt
Filed under: soil metagenome
Description: partial contains 5.8S ribosomal RNA, internal transcribed spacer 2, and large subunit ribosomal RNA
Rfam family: 5.8S ribosomal RNA (bases 1-120)
Source: RNAcentral
GAUGAAGAACGUAGCGAAAUGCGAUAAGUAAUGUGAAUUGCAGAAUUCAGUGAAUCAUCGAAUCUUUGAACGCAUCUUGCGCUCCUUGGUAUUCUGAGGAGCAUGCCUGUUUGAGUGUCAUUAAAUUCUCAACUACACUGACUUUGAAUUGGUGUGGCUUGGAUUUGGGGGGAAAAUUGUUGUGGGCUUUUUGUAUAGUCUGCUCCCCUGAAAUUGAUUAGCGGUACCUUUGUGGAACUGUCUACAGGUGUGAUAAUUAUCUACAUCUUAGACAUCUGCUGGAAUGCUGCUUUCUAAACCUUACUUGUAUUGACAAUCUUGACCUCAAAUCAGGUAGGACUACCCGCUGAACUUAAGCAUAUCAAUAAGCGGAGG